ACUCCUACGGGAGGCAGCAGUGGGGAACACCUGCGCAAUGGGGGAAACCCUGACGCAGCGACGCCGCGUGAGCGAAGAAGGCCUUAGGGUUGUAAAGCUCUGUUUUAAGGGACGAAUGUCACCUUAAGUAAUACGUAAGGUGAAUGGCGGUACCUUAAGAGGAAGCCCCGGCUAACUACGUGCCAGCAGCCGCGGUAAGACGUAGGGGGCGAGCGUUGUCCGGAAUUACUGGGCGUAAAGAGCACGUAGGCGGGAACUUAAGUCAGGUGUGAAAGACCGGGGCUCAACCUCGGGUAUGCACUUGAAACUGGGUUUCUUGAGGGCAGGAGAGGAAAGCAGAAUUCCUGGUGUAGCGGUGAAAUGCGUAGAAAUCAGGAGGAAUACCAGUGGCGAAGGCGGCUUUCUGGACUGACCCUGACGCUGAGGUGCGAAAGCGUGGGUAGCAAACAGGAUUAGAUACCCUGGUAGUC
This 470-nucleotide ribosomal RNA is filed under the name uncultured bacterium. RNAcentral describes it as "bacterial SSU rRNA". It matches the Rfam family "Bacterial small subunit ribosomal RNA", at positions 335 to 795 of the family's 1533-position model. The record is from RNAcentral.